This 253-nucleotide ribosomal RNA is filed under the name uncultured bacterium. RNAcentral's name for it is "partial 16S ribosomal RNA". It matches the Rfam family "Bacterial small subunit ribosomal RNA", at positions 524 to 776 of the family's 1533-position model. The record is from RNAcentral.
UACGAAGGGUGCAAGCGUUAGUCGGAAUUACUGGGCGUAAAGCGUGCGUAGGCGGUUUUCUAAGUCUGCCGUGAAAGCCCCGGGCUUAACCUGGGAAUGGCAUUUGGGACUGCAAGGCUUGAGUGCGGCAGAGGAGACUGGAAUUCCUGGUGUAGCAGUGAAAUGCGUAGAUAUCAGGAGGAACACCGAUGGCGAAGGCAGCUCGCUGGGACGGUACUGACGCUGAGGCGCGAAAGCGUGGGGAGCGAACAGG